GCUCCAGACUCCUACGGGAGGCAGCAGUGGGGAAUAUUGCACAAUGGGGGAAACCCUGAUGCAGCGACGCCGCGUGAGUGAAGAAGUAUCUCGGUCUGUAAAGCCCUAUCAGCAGGAAAGAUAAUGACGGUACCUGACUAAGAAGCCCCGGCUAACUACGUGCCAGCAGCCGCGGUAAUACGUAGGGGGCAAGCGUUAUCCGGAUUUACUGGGUGUAAAGGGAGCGUAGACGGCAGCGCAAGUCUGGAGUGAAAUGCCGGGGCCCAACCCCGGAACUGCUUUGGAAACUGUUAAGCUGGAGUGCGGGAGGGGCAGGCGGAAUUCCUGGUGUAGCGGUGAAAUGCGUAGAUAUCAGGAGGAACACCGGCGGCGAAGGCGGCCUGCUGGACCGUGACUGACGUUGAGGCUCGAAAGCGUGGGGAGCAAACAGGAUUAGAUACCCGAGUAU
This 448-nucleotide ribosomal RNA is filed under the name uncultured bacterium. RNAcentral describes it as "bacterial SSU rRNA". It matches the Rfam family "Bacterial small subunit ribosomal RNA", at positions 328 to 793 of the family's 1533-position model. The record is from RNAcentral.